UACGAGGGGGGCAAAUGUUGUUCGGAAUCACUGGGCGUAAAGGGAGCGUAGGCGGGCUUCUAAGUUAGAUGUUUAAUCCCGGGGCCCAACCCCGGACAGGCACCUAAAACUGGAAGUCUUGAAUAGUGGAGAGGACGGCGGAAUUGGGGGUGUAGCGGUGGAAUGCGUAGAGAUCCCCAAGAACACCAGUUGCGAAGGCGGUCGUCUGGACACAUAUUGACGCUGAGGCUCGAAAGCAUGGGGAGCAAACAGG
Molecule: ribosomal RNA, 253 nt
Filed under: uncultured bacterium
Lineage: Bacteria
Description: partial 16S ribosomal RNA
Rfam family: Bacterial small subunit ribosomal RNA
Source: RNAcentral